AGAGUUUGAUCCUGGCUCAGAACGAACGCUGGCGGCAGGCCUAACACAUGCAAGUCGAACGAGAAGCCACCUUCGGGUGGUGGACAGUGGCAGACGGGUGAGUAACGCGUGGGAACGUGCCUUUCGGUUCGGAAUAACCCAGGGAAACUUGGGCUAAUACCGGAUACGCCCUUCGGGGGAAAGAUUCAUUGCCGAAAGAUCGGCCCGCGUCGGAUUAGCUAGUUGGUGGGGUAAUGGCUCACCAAGGCGACGAUCCGUAGCUGGUCUGAGAGGAUGACCAGCCACACUGGGACUGAGACACGGCCCAGACUCCUACGGGAGGCAGCAGUGGGGAAUAUUGGACAAUGGGCGAAAGCCUGAUCCAGCCAUGCCGCGUGGGUGAAGAAGGCCUUAGGGUUGUAAACCCCUUUCAGCGGGGAAGAUAAUGACGGUACCCGCAGAAGAAGUCCCGGCUAACUCCGUGCCAGCAGCCGCGGUA
This 478-nucleotide ribosomal RNA is filed under the name uncultured Pseudomonadota bacterium. Its description in RNAcentral is "bacterial SSU rRNA". It matches the Rfam family "Bacterial small subunit ribosomal RNA", at positions 8 to 522 of the family's 1533-position model. The record is from RNAcentral. Lineage: Bacteria; Pseudomonadati; Pseudomonadota.